Small nucleolar RNA from Pteropus vampyrus (large flying fox), 151 nucleotides. NCBI's taxonomy places the organism in Eukaryota, Metazoa, Chordata, Mammalia, Chiroptera, Pteropodidae. The record is from Ensembl.
UCUGCACAUUGUUAAAGCAUGGAGUUGUGGCCAUGGUCUAGCCAAUGAACUCACAAGUUGGUAGUAUGCUACAUGAAGGGCAAGUUUUUCACUAACACCACAAACAUCUCUGGCCUAAUGAGUGGAGGUUGACAGUAAUCCUUGAACAAGG